ACACAUGCACGUCCAGCGGCAGCAGCAGAAGCUUGCUUCUCUUGCAUAGCGGCGGACGGGUGAGUAAUGCCUAGGCAAUCUGCCUGGUAGUGGGGGAUAACGUUCGGAAACGGACGCUAAUACCGCAUACGUCCUACGGGAGAAAGCAGGGGACCUUCGGGCCUUGCGCUAUCAGAUGAGCCUAGGCGAUUACCUAGUUGGUGAGGUAAUGGCUCACCAAGGCGACGAUCCGUAACUGGUCUGAGAGGAUGAUCAGUCACACUGGAACUGAGACACGGUCCAGACUCCUACGGGAGGCAGCAGUGGGGAAUAUUGGACAAUGGGCGAAAGCCUGAUCCAGCCAUGCCGCGUGUGUGAAGRAAGGU
RNAcentral lists this ribosomal RNA (365 nucleotides) under Pseudomonas sp. bnj_dkc_30. RNAcentral's name for it is "bacterial SSU rRNA". It matches the Rfam family "Bacterial small subunit ribosomal RNA", at positions 51 to 416 of the family's 1533-position model. Lineage: Bacteria; Pseudomonadati; Pseudomonadota; Gammaproteobacteria; Pseudomonadales; Pseudomonadaceae. The record is from RNAcentral.